CAGAACAAGAACACAUGCCUCACUUCCAGA
Molecule: non-coding RNA, 30 nt
Filed under: Rattus norvegicus (Norway rat)
Lineage: Eukaryota; Metazoa; Chordata; Mammalia; Rodentia; Muridae
Source: RNAcentral